CGUUGAUUACGUCCCUGCCCUUUGUACACACCGCCCGUCGCUACUACCGAUUGAAUGGCUCAGUGAGGCCUUGGGACUGGCUCAGAGAGGUCGGCGACGACCACUCAGAGCCGGAAACUUGGUCAAACUUGGUCAUUUAGAGGAAGUAAAAGUCGUAACAAGG
This 163-nucleotide ribosomal RNA is filed under the name Capronia americana. RNAcentral describes it as "Phialophora americana partial small subunit ribosomal RNA". It matches the Rfam family "Eukaryotic small subunit ribosomal RNA", at positions 1639 to 1799 of the family's 1831-position model. The record is from RNAcentral. Lineage: Eukaryota; Fungi; Ascomycota; Eurotiomycetes; Chaetothyriales; Herpotrichiellaceae.